UACGGAGGGUGCAAGCGUUGCUCGGAAUUACUGGGCGUAAAGCGCGUGUAGGCGGUCUCGUGUGUCUGGCGUGAAAGCCCCGGGCUCACCCCGGGAAGUGCGUUGGAAACUGCGAGACUAGAGUUCCGGAGAGGAAGGUGGAAUUCCAGGUGUAGCGGUGAAAUGCGUAGAUAUCUGGAAGAACACCGGUGGCGAAGGUGGCCUUCUGGACGGUGAAUGACUUUGAGACGCGAAAGCGUGGGGAGCAAACAGG
RNAcentral lists this ribosomal RNA (253 nucleotides) under uncultured bacterium. Its description in RNAcentral is "partial 16S ribosomal RNA". It matches the Rfam family "Bacterial small subunit ribosomal RNA", at positions 524 to 776 of the family's 1533-position model. The record is from RNAcentral.